CAGACGAGGAGCUUGCUCCUCUGACGUUAGCGGCGGACGGGUGAGUAACACGUGGAUAACCUACCUAUAAGACUGGGAUAACUUCGGGAAACCGGAGCUAAUACCGGAUAAUAUAUUGAACCGCAUGGUUCAAUAGUGAAAGACGGUUUUGCUGUCACUUAUAGAUGGAUCCGCGCCGCAUUAGCUAGUUGGUAAGGUAACGGCUUACCAAGGCAACGAUGCGUAGCCGACCUGAGAGGGUGAUCGGCCACACUGGAACUGAGACACGGUCCAGACUCCUACGGGAGGCAGCAGUAGGGAAUCUUCCGCAAUGGGCGAAAGCUUGACGGAGCAACGCCGCGUGAGUGAUGAAGGUCUUCGGAUCGUAAAACUCUGUUAUUAGGGAAGAACAAAUGUGUAAGUAACUAUGCACGUCUUGACGGUACCUAAUCAGAAAGCCACGGUAACUACGUGCCAGCAGCCGCGGUAAUACGUAGGUGGCAAGCGUUAUCCGGAAUUAUUGGGCGUAAAGCGCGCGUAGGCGGUUUUUUAAGUCUGAUGUGAAAGCCCACGGCUCAACCGUGGAGGGUCACUUGGAAACUGGAAAACUUGAGUGCAGAAGACCGCAAGUGGAAUUCCAUGUGUAUCGGUGAAAUGCGCAGAGAUAUGGAGGAACACCAGUGGCGAAGGCGACUUUCUGGUCUGUAACUGACGCUGAUGUGCGAAAGCUGGGGAUCAAACAGGAUUAGAUACCCUGUAGUCCACGCCGUAAC
RNAcentral lists this ribosomal RNA (752 nucleotides) under uncultured Staphylococcus sp. RNAcentral describes it as "bacterial SSU rRNA". It matches the Rfam family "Bacterial small subunit ribosomal RNA", at positions 70 to 806 of the family's 1533-position model. Lineage: Bacteria; Bacillati; Bacillota; Bacilli; Caryophanales; Staphylococcaceae. The record is from RNAcentral.